This 1203-nucleotide long non-coding RNA is filed under the name Mus musculus (house mouse). Its description in RNAcentral is "long non-coding RNA chr2:114041872-114043075". Lineage: Eukaryota; Metazoa; Chordata; Mammalia; Rodentia; Muridae. The record is from RNAcentral.
GAACUCUGUGGGAAUAUAAAUUAUAACUAUGGUGAAGAGCAGUGUAGAAGCUCCCAGAAAACUGAAUAUAGAUCUACCAUGUAAUCCAGCUAUCCCAGGAUAAGGCCAGUCUAUCAGAGAUCAAUCACUUCAUGUCCAUGUUUAUUCACAACAGUAAAGCUAUGGUAUCUGCCUAGUGACUCACCAAGAAAGGAAUGGAUAAAGAAAACAAGGUAUGUGUACAAAAUGGAAUAUCAAUUUGCAGAGAAAUAGAUGGAACUAAUGGACAUUAUGUUUAAUAAAUCAGACACAAAAACUUUAUCACAUGUUCUAUAUCAUAUGUAAAAGCUAAAAGAAAAAUAACCUUAAUGUGGACUAGUGAUGAAUUGAGGUUUGGAGAGUUAAAGUGAAAGAAAGCUGGAUUUGACUAUGUGACUAUAUGACUUUAUGACUUUAUGAUUAUGUGACUAGUGUGCUAUAUGUAUAUGUUGAAAUGUUAUACAGAAUUGCAUUUACACAUACAAUUAAUACAUCUUAAUCCAAACAAUUAGAUAUAGAAACAUACUCUUAUGUGCAUGGCCCAUUAGCACCUUUUGUCAUCAUUAGAAUGUAAACCUCUUACUAUUGUGUGAAAAUUCCCAUGUAAUUUGUAUUCUGACUCCUUUGCAGUGUCACUCAGGUCUCCCUCUUUUGUCCUCACUGCUUCUCAGAGAGAGGUCACCUCCUGCUUCUCUGUGUACAGUAUAUCUUUGUACUGCCAGCUUUUCCCAUUCUUCUGGUCUUCCUGAAGAGGCAUUCACCCACCUUACCCCCUAGACAACACCUGUGCCCUAGAGCCUCUCACUGGGCUUUGUCUCUUCUCUAAUUGCUCUGUAGUUUUGUUUAUUUGGCUAUGGGCUGUUCUCCCAAGAUACACUCACCCCAAACACACACACACACACAUCAUACACACACAGGCACACACAGAUCCAGACACACACACACACAGAUAUACACACACAGACAAGCACAGAUCCAGAUACACACACAGACACACAGAUCCAGACACACACACACACAGACACACCAUACCAUUGGACGCUAAGUCAAACAAAUGCAGUAGCCAUCUCUGUUUUGUCUCUAGAACGUUGUAGAAGAUAUUCAGUGAGUGUAUGUUGAUAAGAGCAAGCAGCUGAGUAUUUUUCCUGGUUUAUACCUUUUUUAAAAAAUAAAACAAAAACAUAA